Molecule: small RNA, 530 nt
Filed under: Pongo abelii (Sumatran orangutan)
Lineage: Eukaryota; Metazoa; Chordata; Mammalia; Primates; Hominidae
Description: retained intron
Source: RNAcentral
ACUCAAUGUGAUAGCAAGGUGUAGCCAAGGUCAUCCCUUUUCCCUGCACGUAGAUUCAGCCAUGCUUUUCCUACCAGCAUGCAGACACCACAAAAGAAAGAGGAUGAAUUUGUUCUCUUUUGUCUCUGCCUUGUCAGAUUGAGAGACGCCUGGACACAGUACGGUCAAUAUGCCACCAUUCCCAUAAGCGCUUGGUGGCAUGUUUCCAGGGCCAGCAUGGCACCGAUGCCGAGAGGAGACACAAAAAACUGCCUCUGACAGCUCUCGCUCAAAAUAUGCAAGAAGCAUCGACUCAGCUGGAAGACUCUCUCCUGGGGAAGAUGCUGGAGACGUGUGGAGAUGCUGAGAAUCAGCUGGCUCUCGAGCUCUCCCAGCACGAAGUCUUUGUUGAGAAGGAGAUCGUGGACCCUCUGUACGGCAUAGCCGAGGUGGAGAUUCCCAACAUCCAGAAACAGAGGAAGCAGCUUGCAAGAUUGGUGUUAGACUGGGAUUCAGUCAGAGCCAGGUGGAACCAAGCUCACAAAUCCUCA